UCACUGCAAGUUCAGGUUGGUCAAAAUUCGCAUCUCUUAAUUCUUCAAACCAUUUCCAUGUUUAGGUAGAGCUUUUCAUGCUGAAAAUUCUGAUAUAAAAUUCAUUGAAAACGGUUGAGAAUUGCAUGAGAUAUGUUUGUUUAAAGUUUUGCCAUGAAAUUUUCUUUUCAUCGAUUUGCAUUGUUCAUUGAGAUUUAGACCAAAUAAG
RNAcentral lists this long non-coding RNA (208 nucleotides) under Lathyrus oleraceus (garden pea). Its description in RNAcentral is "Pisum sativum (pea) long non-coding RNA (PSAT_LNC004105)". The record is from RNAcentral. Lineage: Eukaryota; Viridiplantae; Streptophyta; Magnoliopsida; Fabales; Fabaceae.